This 1486-nucleotide ribosomal RNA is filed under the name uncultured Bordetella sp. RNAcentral's name for it is "partial 16S-23S ribosomal RNA intergenic spacer". It matches the Rfam family "Bacterial small subunit ribosomal RNA". The record is from RNAcentral. Lineage: Bacteria; Pseudomonadati; Pseudomonadota; Betaproteobacteria; Burkholderiales; Alcaligenaceae.
UCGAUCAUGGCCUGGAGAUUGAACGCUGGCGGGAUGCUUUGCUGGUGCGCCAGAACGGCAGCACGGACUUCGGUCUGGUGGCGAGGGCGAACGGGUGAGUGUACGUCGGAACGUGCCUAGUAGCGGGGAUGAUCACGCGGAAAAGCGUAGCUAAUACCGCAUACUGCCCUUCGGGGGAAAGCGGGGGACCUUCGGGCCUCGCACUAUUAGAGCGGCCGACACGACAGCUGGUUGGUGGGGUAACGGCCUUCACCAAGGCGAUUGAUCCGUAGCUGGUUUGAGAGGACGACCAGCCACACUGGGACUGAGACACGGCCCAGACUCCUACGGGAGGCAGCAGUGGGAAUUUGACAAUGGGGAAACCCUGAUCCAGCCAUCCCGCGUGUGCGAUGAAGGCCUUCGGGUUGUAAAGCACUUUUGGCAGGAAAGAAAUGGCACGGGAUAAUACCCCGUGCAACUGACGGUACCUGCAGAAUAAGCACCGGCUAACUACGUGCCAGCAGCCGCGGUAAUACGUAGGUGCAAGCGUUAAUCGGAAUUACUGGGCGCGCAGCGUGCGCAGGCGGUUCGGAAAGAAAGAUGUAGAAAUCCCAGAGCUUAACUUUGAACUGCAUUUUUAACUACCGAGCUAGAGUGUGUCAGAGGAGGUGGAAUUCCGCGUGUAGCAGGAAAUGCGUAGAUAUGCGGAGGAACACCGAUGGCGAAGGCAGCCUCCUGGGAUAACACUGACGCUCAUGCACGAAAGCGUGGGGAGCAAACAGGAUUAGAUACCCGUAGUCCACGCCUCAAACGAUGUCAACUAGCUGUUGGGGCCUUCGGGCCUUGGUAGCGCAGCUAACGCGUGAAGUUGACCGGCCUGGGGAGUACGGUCGCAAGAUUAAAACUCAAAGGAAUUGACGGGGACCCGCACAAGCGGUGGAUGAUGUGGAUUAAUUCGAUGCAACGCGAAAAACCUUACCUACCCUUGACAUGUCUGGAAUCCCGAAGAGACUUGGGAGUGCUCGCAAGAGAACCGGAACACAGGUGCUGCAUGGCUGUCGUCAGCUCGUGUCGUGAGAUGUUGGGUUAAGUCCCGGCAACGAGCGCAACCCUUGUCAUUAGUUGCUACGAAAGGGCACUCUAAUGAGACUGCCGGUGACAAACCGGAGGAAGGUGGGAUGACGUCAAAGUCCUCAUGGCCCUUAUGGGUAGGGCUUCACACGUCAUACAAUGGUCGGGACAGAGGGCCGCCCUUUUCAACCCGCGCAGGGGGAGCUAAUCCCAGAAACCCGAUCGGGGGUAGUCCGGAUCGCAGUCUGCAACUCGACCAGGAAGUCGGAAUCGCUAGUAAUCGCGGAUCAGAAGGCACGCGGGGUGAAUACGUUCCGGUCUUGUACACACCGCCCGUCACACCAUGGGAGUGGGUUUUACCAGAAGUAGUUAGCUCACCGUAAGGAGGGCGAUUACCACGGUAGGAUUCGACUGGGGUGAAGUCGUAACAAGGUAG